AUCCCUUUAAAAUGUCUAAAUAUGGUGCAUAUGUGGAAUGGAAAUAGGUAAUCCGUGUGAAGCUACACAGUUCUGUCAUUCAUCAGAACAUGAUGCACCCCCCUCAGUGCAACAGGGAUUAUCCUCUCUGUGCAUCCAGACAGGUUAAAACCCAUACUGUCAAGAUGCAUAAUGAUAAAAUCAUAUCUAUGUGGUUUCAUUGCAUACUUCACCAUGUCUUAUUGCCUUAUUUUCUUGUAACAAAAGACAUAUCUUAAACAAUAUGUUAUAGUGACCUGAAAUCCACACUUCUUCCUCAACUGGAGUAGCCUAUGCUAUGCCAGGGGAUCGGUUGUUAAGCUGCUUUUUGGCACUAGUGUUCGGCCUUGGCAGAAUAGCCCAGUUUAAGAUGUCAGUUUAAUCUCAGAGUGAGAGUAUUACACUGACACAGACACAUAUGGCAUUACACAGUGUUUUCCCUCAUGUAUCUAAUUCAAAGAAUUGCCAAGUCUCAUAUCAAUGCUGCUAGCAUCGUGCCUGAUAGUGCCAUAGCAGCCUAUUCCCUGCACAUCCCGGUGGUAAAGAGGUCCUAGUCCAAGAGCAACACAGGUAUUUCUGCCGUGGCCAAGAGGGACCAUAUGUCUCUGCUGUCUGUCCCACCUCCGUUCCAGUCUGCCAGGCCUCUGACACAUAUGGGGUUUAAUGCCAUUAAGCACGAGGUUCAUGACCUCAAAGGCGUUUCUGUCUUCGCUCGUACGGGUAAUGAACCUAGCGAUGUGUCAGCAGUUGCCCAGCUGACACAAACACUAUAAUGUCUAAAGGCAGGUUCUCAGGGUGGUGGUAUUCACCAAAGACUUAUACCUACUUCAGACGGAUAAGUGGGACUGAUUGAUUGUUUUAAUUAAUGCAUUAACCAUCACAAUGGUCUGCUGUGGGCUACAAAACCACCAGUAAGUAGUGCUGCUGCCACUAACUGUCAUACGCUACCAAACAAGAAUGUAUACACACACCCACUGUGUUUUCCCCUGCUUAUUAAUGGCAAAUUAUAAAGAAGCAUUGACAAAUCAAUUUAAACUUGCAACACUAGCUAACGUUACAGUGCAAUAUGUUCACUUGCUGCAGGGCAAUAUGUUCACUUAAAUAUAACAGUAGACUAACAUUACAUCUGGUCAGCUAAUUAUACCAGUAGCAGUACUAUAGAUAGCUAAAAUUACAGCAUGACCACUUGGAUCAUCUUAGAUGACAUGUAGCCGAAGAUGGUGUAUAAAGGAAUAUAGUUCACUCAGGCCGUUUGGGGCAGUGGUUUGGUUUGGGUAAUAUGGCUUCCUCCUCCGCCUCUGGUCGAGUUCAGUGUUGUUUCCGCCUACUGUUACCAGGGAAACGCACUGCCCAAUCAAAAGUACUGCAGUAUAAGGACCUUCGACUCAGUAACCAACCUAAUCGCGCCUUGUUCUAAAAUUAGCCAGUUUGAAACGCAAGUCAAGCGGGUUGAAACGGUCAAAUUCAACCAAUUACAAACAAACAAACGCAAGACGAAGCUAGUUCGAGAUACUCUAAAAAGCAGUAAUUGAAUAACGUUAUCUAGCUAUUUUUGAAAAUGAUGACAUUAUACAAGACAAUGUUUCAAAGCUGCAGUGUGUGUUUUCGCACUCGCUAGAUGAAGGGGAUUCGAGCAGUCCAGUUCUACCAGGGGACUGUGAUCGGGGCAGCUCGGUCUCAUCUGAGCUGCAGGAUGAAUAUGAAGAACUUCUCCACCAUGCAGUGGUCAGUCCUGAGUAUGAGCCGCAGCCCAGUGCUCAACUGCAGCUUCUGAACGCAUCACAACUGUCUGCAGAUGAACAAGGUUCCCGUGGAAACAAUGACGCUAGGCCCUAACACUCAGCAGGCCCACAGUGCCCGGCUGGCAGAGCAGCACUACAGUCUGCAGCUGAAGAGGAAGGUGUGGGCAGGCUGGCAUGCCCUCGUCCAGGGGAGGUGGAAACAGAAAUCAUAUGUAAUUCUAACACACUGAAAUGUGCAUUUUUUUUGUUGGGUGUUCUGUACUAAAAUAAGACAAUUUACCCAGAGUUUCACAUGAGCACAGAACAGUAGCUAGCUACACUAACUGGACAACAGAGACUGAAUAAACAUGGUCUUAUAUAAAUAGUUGUCACUCGCCAUAUCUCACAGUUCUGCAGACCUUCUUCUGGCGCCGACAGAGAUGGCCGCCUCGCUUCGCGUUCCUAGGAAACUAUGCAGUUUUGUUUUUUUACGUGUUAUUUCUUACAUUAGUACCCCAGGUCAUCUUAGGUGUCAUUACAUACAGUCGAGAAGAACUACUGAAUAUAAGAUCAGCGUCAACUCACCAUCAGUACGACCAAGAAUGUUUUUCGCGACGCGGAUCCUGUGUUCUGCCUUACAAACAGGACAACGGAAUGGAUCGCAUGCAGCGACCCAAAAAAACGACUCCGAAAAAGAGGGAAACGAGGCGGUCUUCUGGUCAGACUCCGGAGACGGGCACACCGUGCUCCACUCCCUAGCAUUCUUCUUGCCAAUGUCCAGUCUCUAGACAACAAGGUUGAUGAAAUCCGAGCAAGGGUAGCAUUCCAGAGGGACAUCAGAGACUGUAACGUUCUGUGCUUCACGGAAACAUGGCUCACUGGAGAGACGCUAUCCGAAGCGGUGCAGCCAACGGGUUUCUCCACGCAUCGCGCCGACAGAAACAAACACCUU
This is a long non-coding RNA of Oncorhynchus keta (chum salmon), 2691 nucleotides long. RefSeq lists it as uncharacterized. The transcript is spliced from 4 exons. NCBI's taxonomy places the organism in Eukaryota, Metazoa, Chordata, Actinopteri, Salmoniformes, Salmonidae. The record is from RefSeq and is a predicted model, not a curated record.